Ailuropoda melanoleuca (giant panda) is the source of this 1615-nucleotide long non-coding RNA. RefSeq lists it as uncharacterized. NCBI's taxonomy places the organism in Eukaryota, Metazoa, Chordata, Mammalia, Carnivora, Ursidae. The record is from RefSeq and is a predicted model, not a curated record. The transcript has 2 exons.
UCAUAGAGGAGGAGCCUGACGUGGGGCUCGAUCCCAUAACGCCGGGAUCACGCCCUGAGCCGAAGGCAGACGCUUAACCGCUGUGCCACCCAGGCGCCCCUAAACAUAAGUCUUAUCACCAUUGUUAGAUUCUAAGCUUCUUUAAGGUAAUGACUCUAUCUUAUAUCUUUAUAUAUCCUGAAUAACUUAGCUCUAUGCUUUGUACAUAGUAAGAAAUCAACAGAUUUACUGAAUGACCAAAGUGCUAUGAGUGGGGACAGUCUUUAACCUUCUCACCAUAAAUCAACAACAGCGCAUAGAAGCAUGGAGGGAUAAUACUGACUUUCUCUGAGGUCUGCAGUAUAUUGUAGACUUCCCACCAGGCCCAUUCUUACAGUCAUACAUUGCUAGUCACUACAGCAUUCUUUCCUUCUGAGCCUGGACAAGGUGUCCCAGCCCUCUCAACAUAGCAUCAGAUAGUCAUUUUUAUGGAUCAGAAUUUACACGGGAAAAUGAACUUCAUUUUCCUGCUACAUCCAAGAGCUCCAUUUUAUAUACGAGGAAAAAAAGGCCCAGAGAAGUCCAGACACAGAAUCAGGUAGACAAAUUCCUGACAACAGUGGAGUAGAAGCGAAAGCCUAGCACAAAAGAAGCAAAGCACACAUUCGUCCAGAGUUCUGCAUACAUUUAACUAGAAGCUCCUGUGGGAUCUUAACCAGCUUCUUGGACCCACUUCAUUGGUUCUCAAAGACUAACCUGGAGGCCCUGGGAACCUGGUGGGCCUCCGCUCAGGUCAGGAGUGACUCCUUGAAAUUUGGUGGUGUGCUCUUCAUGUCAGAGUCUGUUUCACCAUGUGGGACAGCGGAGGGCGCUUGGCCCAGGGGGCCAGGCAGGUCUUGGUUGAAUUCCACUUCUGCACCUACUAGUGGGCAGUUCACCUCUGUGCACCCCAGCUGCCAUGCUUAUGAGAUGAGACAAGUCAGACUCACCAUGCAGGGUGACUGCAAGGCACCCUUGAUGGCGUUUGGUAGAUGUGAGUUUCCCCUUUUCUGCCUCUUUCCCUGCAAAGUAGGGAAGUGAGGACAUUUGAGUGGGCUUCUUUGCACUUCGCUUCUGCACACACAAUCACGCUCCUCUUUAGCGUAGGCCUUAUUUAUCGUGAUUAUGUGAACGCAUUGUUUUUACUGAAAUGUAUAAGAUGUUAAUGAGUAUUGUUCUGUGAGUAAUCAUUUACAAAUUUCCUUAUUUAUUGAACUGAAAGAGGCUUUUUCAGUUGGUCAAGGGCUGUCCUCUCAGAUACCUGUGCUUAAAGCAGGGUGGUUUUCAGCUGGUCUGUUCUAACGUAGGCACCUGCAUUGAGCUCUGCAGUGAUGACUGGGAUUGUGAUCUGGGGGAGCACUGCGUCAGCAAUGGGUGUGGCCACAUCUGUGCUGCAGCCUAAGGACAGAUGAAGACUUACCUUGAGGGUCAUCCUUCUCUAACAAUUUCUCAUUGCUUCCUAUCUUCAAAGAUAUGACUGGAACUCCUUGACCAGGAAGACAGAUGAAAAUGGGGGACUGUGGGUGGAUAUUACAAGAGAUGUGAUGGGGAAGGAAAAAGAGUCAUUUCUUUUAAUAAAUCAUCAUUGUUAAAAGGA